CUGUCUGCUAAUAGUAAGCUGAUUACUUUGUCAGCUUGUCUUCUUAGAGGGACUGGCGGAUUUAAACCGCACGAGAUUGAGCAAUAACAGGUCUGUGAUGCCCUUAGAUGUUCUGGGCUGCACACGCGCUACACUGAAGGGAUCAGCGUGCUUCCCCUGUCCGAUAGGACCGGGUAACCCGCUGAACCCCCUUCGUGGUAGGGAUUGGAGCUUGCAAUUAUUCUCCAUGAACCAGGAAUUCCCAGUAAGCGCAAGUCAUAAGCUUGCGUUGAUUACGUCCCUGCCCUUUGUACACACCGCCCGUCGCUACUACCGAUUGGACGUUUUAGUGAGACAUUUGGACUGGGUCAGAGUAGUCGAAAGAUUAUUCUGUCUCGGAAAGACUUUCAAACUUGAGCGUCUAGAGGAAGUAAAAGUCGUAACAAGGUAUCCGUUAGGU
RNAcentral lists this ribosomal RNA (439 nucleotides) under Ditrichocorycaeus affinis. RNAcentral describes it as "SSU rRNA". It matches the Rfam family "Eukaryotic small subunit ribosomal RNA", at positions 1368 to 1810 of the family's 1831-position model. The record is from RNAcentral. Lineage: Eukaryota; Metazoa; Arthropoda; Copepoda; Poecilostomatoida; Corycaeidae.